CUCAGCAGUCACUGGUCCCUCCCUCACUGCACUCUGCCAGCUCUUCUCAGGAGACUUUUCUUUUUGUUCCCAAGUGGAAAUGCGCCACUCGUGACAGAAACAACCAGUGAUUGGAAAUGAAGGUUCUACACAAGCAGGAGGGGAGUUCCUCUUUUGGCAAAGAGACUGAUAGUUAGCAAAGUUACCUGACAGGCCUGCUGAGUCCACUCAGCCACUCCACCUGUUAGGGGGGAAAGGCUGUCCUAAAGCUAAUUCCAUACAGGCUUUGUGGACGCCACCCCCACCCCAGGCCAAAGCCAAAGACACGGGGAACUCCAAAUCCCAUCCCCACCAAAGGGAAGGUGGCUGGGACCUGAGGGUGGGGUUAAGCAGCCAGGUUGGUAUAAAGCCAGACAUGUGGGCUUUGGAGGGGUCCCCCAUUUUGGCUCUCCGCCAGCUCGCAGCGUCCGACCAGCUCGGAGAGUGACUUUGGGUUUCCAGGUCGUCGGAUCAGGUUUUAGGUUCUUGCUCAGGUGCCCAGGGCGGCAAUGACCUCGCUUCCUUAUGAACCAAGUCCGGCUGCAACGAGUGUGAGAUGCGGGAAUAAACUUCAACCCCUUUGGGAUUCAACUUCUCAUCCAUUAGUAAUCGUGGGAUGGAUGCAGCUCUUAAACCUUUCCCCAGGUAAAAUCCUUCUGUUCGAAGCACCAGAAGCACCGAAUCCUACUCUGUGGUCACUCAGUACUAGAAAGGUCCACUGUGCCCUGUUCCUUCUUCCUCAGAAGAGUCACUUUCCGUAAGAAAAUGAAGACCGAGAGGUUCUCCUUCCCGUGACACCCCGGACCAGGGGAAGCUGCUCUUCACGUGGUAUUAAGCACAGUCAGGGGCAUCAAUGGUCAGCAGGGAAGAUGCAGGAAGGGCUGCUCCUGACAUGGACGUCUCCUCUGCAGGUUAGUCUGGGCUGCCUGCCCAGCGGAGGGAGCUGUUCUUCCCCUCUGUGUGAACUGCCAGCACCCCAGCUUGCACCUGCCCACCCCCAGCUCCCAGGGAGGCCUCCGCCCCAGUGGAGACAUUUGGCUGACAGCGAUUUAGAGUGUGAUCUGUUCCUCACCUGGAACCAUAAUCCCAGUGAACUGCGGAACUGAAACCAGCAGGGACAGAGUCGUGUGGCCUGAAACCCAGAGCUCUAGACCAGCAGCAGGCCUUCUCCCCGCUC
Molecule: long non-coding RNA, 1195 nt
Organism: Talpa occidentalis (Iberian mole)
Lineage: Eukaryota; Metazoa; Chordata; Mammalia; Eulipotyphla; Talpidae
Exons: 3
Source: RefSeq, a predicted model, not a curated record